CAAGCUACACAACUGGCUCCCGCAUGCAGUGGUCUAGGUUGGUGUCAUGCAGGCUCCCUAGCUAAAGGUCUAGAGUCCCUGAGCACCCACUAGCUUGAGCCAGCUGUCUCUG
Non-coding RNA from Peromyscus maniculatus bairdii (prairie deer mouse), 112 nucleotides. The record is from RefSeq and is a predicted model, not a curated record. NCBI's taxonomy places the organism in Eukaryota, Metazoa, Chordata, Mammalia, Rodentia, Cricetidae.